CAACUUUCAGCAACGGAUCUCUUGGCUCUCCCAUCGAUGAAGAACGCAGCGAAAUGCGAUAAGUAAUGUGAAUUGCAGAAUUCAGUGAAUCAUCGAAUCUUUGAACGCACCUUGCGCCCUUUGGUAUUCCGAAGGGCAUGCCUGUUUGAGUGUCAUUA
RNAcentral lists this ribosomal RNA (158 nucleotides) under Mycena galericulata. RNAcentral's name for it is "5.8S ribosomal RNA". It matches the Rfam family "5.8S ribosomal RNA". From Rfam's summary of the family: 5.8S ribosomal RNA (5.8S rRNA) is a component of the large subunit of the eukaryotic ribosome. It is transcribed by RNA polymerase I as part of the 45S precursor that also contains 18S and 28S rRNA. Functionally, it is thought that 5.8S rRNA may be involved in ribosome translocation. The record is from RNAcentral. RNAcentral also lists the same sequence under 13 other names. Lineage: Eukaryota; Fungi; Basidiomycota; Agaricomycetes; Agaricales; Mycenaceae.